Molecule: ribosomal RNA, 402 nt
Filed under: uncultured prokaryote
Description: bacterial SSU rRNA
Rfam family: Bacterial small subunit ribosomal RNA
Source: RNAcentral
UGGGGAAUAUUGGACAAUGGGCGCAAGCCUGAUCCAGCCAUGCCGCGUGAGUGACGAAGGUCUUCGGAUUGUAAAGCUCUUUUGGCGGGGACGAUAAUGACGGUACCCGCAGAAUAAGCCCCGGCUAACUUCGUGCCAGCAGCCGCGGUAAUACGAAGGGGGCUAGCGUUGCUCGGAAUCACUGGGCGUAAAGCGCACGUAGGCGGAUUCUUAAGUCAGAGGUGAAAGCCUGGAGCUCAACUCCAGAACUGCCCUUGAUACUGGGAGUCUCGAGUUCGGGAGAGGUGAGUGGAACUGCGAGUGUAGAGGUGAAAUUCGUAGAUAUUCGCAAGAACACCAGUGGCGAAGGCGGCUCACUGGCCCGAUACUGACGCUGAUGCACGAAAGCGUGGGGAUCAAACA